GACGAACGCUGGCGGCGUGCUUAACACAUGCAAGUCGAACGGAAAGGCCCUGCUUUUGUGGGGUGCUCGAGUGGCGAACGGGUGAGUAACACGUGAGUAACCUGCCCUUGACUUUGGGAUAACUUCAGGAAACUGGGGCUAAUACCGGAUAGGAGCUCCUGCUGCAUGGUGGGGGUUGGAAAGUUUCGGCGGUUGGGGCUGGACUCGCGGCUUAUCAGCUUGUUGGUGGGGUAGUGGCUUACCAAGGCUUUGACGGGUAGCCGGCCUGAGAGGGUGACCGGCGACAUUGGGACUGAGAUACGGCCCAGACUCCUACGGGAGGCAGCAGUGGGGAAUAUUGCACAAUGGGCGGAAGCCUGAUGCAGCAACGCCGCGUGCGGGAUGACGGCCUUCGGGUUGUAAACCGCUUUCGCCUGUGACGAAGCGUGAGUGACGGUAAUGGGUAAAGAAGCACCGGCUAACUACGUG
This 468-nucleotide ribosomal RNA is filed under the name uncultured bacterium. Its description in RNAcentral is "partial 16S ribosomal RNA". It matches the Rfam family "Bacterial small subunit ribosomal RNA", at positions 28 to 507 of the family's 1533-position model. The record is from RNAcentral.